UUGGAUAAUCAAAUUAAAAAUUUUGGGAAGUUGAAAGAGAUGUUUGUAAUUGGCCCAAUUUGCCCAGCCUACAUGAAGCAAAUAAAACAGUCCAAAUACAACAGUCCUUUUAUAAUAAAAUGGGCCCAAAACCCAAACCCAAAAUACAAAGGCCUAAAAUACAAGAACAGUGGCCUAAAUUACAGUGGCCCAAAACAGAUUCAGGAAACCUUAGGGUUUCUGUUUGCACCGCAGCCCCCUAGCCCGCACGAGCUGGAUCUCCACGCCUUCACCUGCAAGAAAUAAACACAAAGAAGGAAACAAAAUCAAAGAUUGCAGAUCAAGAAGAUAUCAAACAUGAUUUGUUUCCUUUUUUUUUAUUAUGGCUAUAAAAAGGCCAUUGAAAUAUUGUAAAGGGGAUCGGAAAAAAUCAAUAGAAAACAAUUAUUUUCACAACCAAAAAACAGAGAGUUUGAUACUGAGAGCAAAAAUCGAUCCAAAAGGUUAAGAUCCACAGUUUCUUUUAUUUUAUUUUAAAUCUACUAUUAUUAUUAUUUAUCUAUAUACGAAUAAAAUAAGUAGGAGAAAGAAAUAGACAACCUUUUUGAGCCCGGAUCGCCAUGAACAGUUGAGGUAGUCGUCUCCGAGGAUAGACGGCCGGAAACCGAAAGGUUUCUUGAGAUUUUGGGCUUUUCCAUCAGUAUUUUGGAGAUUUCGGGGCUAGAUUUAGGUUUAGGGGUUGCUAAAGGACCAGAUCUGAAGUUUUUUCUUUUUUCGGCCACCGCACACGGCGGCGCCGUCGUCGGUGACCGGUGGCCGGCAUGGCGGUCCCUUCGCCGGAUUUUGGGCCAAUGCCCGAAGAAGAAGAGGGGAGGGGAGAGUGUUUCACGGUUUUUUU
This 877-nucleotide long non-coding RNA is filed under the name Gossypium barbadense (sea-island cotton). RNAcentral's name for it is "long non-coding RNA (GBAR_LNC022768)". The record is from RNAcentral. Lineage: Eukaryota; Viridiplantae; Streptophyta; Magnoliopsida; Malvales; Malvaceae.